RNA transcript from Trachemys scripta elegans, 7342 nucleotides. It is a transcript of the gene named 1-acylglycerol-3-phosphate O-acyltransferase 4, with no coding region annotated. The transcript is spliced from 12 exons. Lineage: Eukaryota; Metazoa; Chordata; Testudines; Emydidae. The record is from RefSeq and is a predicted model, not a curated record.
CUUUCUUUCCAGUGUUGGCUGACUUACAGCUCAUGCAAACUAGAGGCAAUUUCUGAGUCUCAGCCUCUCUCCCCCUUUCUGUCUGGUUUCUAAGCACACAUGUCAAGCUCUGGCAGGCUCAAGACUGUCUUCUGAAUUCCUGGAUUUUCUCUUUCUGGAAGUUCCCCUUGCGUUGUUAAUGAACCAUGGACAUCAUUGGCUUUCUGAAGUCUCAGUUCAUUUGCCACCUUCUUAUCUGCUACAUAUUUAUAGUGUCGGGACUGAUAAUUAACUUCAUUCAGCUCUUCACACUUGUCCUCUGGCCAGUCAACAAGCAGCUUUUCAGGAAGAUCAAUUGCAGACUGGCUUACUGCAUUUCAAGCCAGAUGGUGAUGUUGCUGGAAUGGUGGUCAGGCACUGAUUGCACCCUCUACACUGACCCAGAGAGUUACCACAAGUACGGGAAAGAGAAUGCCAUCGUAAUCCUUAAUCACAACUAUGAAAUCGACUUUCUCUGUGGUUGGAACUUUUGUGAAAGAUUUGGGGUUUUAGGGAGUUCCAAAGUGCUUGCAAAAAAGGAACUUUCUUACGUGCCUAUCAUUGGUUGGAUGUGGUAUUUCCUAGAGAUAGUCUUCUGCAAGCGUAAAUGGGAGGAAGAUCGGAAAACUGUCAUGCAGAGCUUGCUCAAUCUCCGGGAUUACCCUGAAAAAUUUUGGUUCUUGAUACACUGUGAGGGCACGAGAUUCACAGAGCAGAAGCACCAAAUCAGCAUGCAGGUUGCUGAAGCCAAAGGCCUGCCUAAACUCAAGUAUCAUCUGCUGCCCCGGACAAAGGGAUUUGCUGUCACCGUGCAAAGUUUGAGAAAUGUAGUUUCAGCUGUGUAUGAUUCUACGCUCAAUUUUAGAAAUAAUGAGAAUCCAACUUUGCUGGGAGUUUUAAAUGGGAAGAAAUAUCAUGCAGAUUUAUAUGUAAGACGGAUUCCAUUAGAGGAAGUCCCAGAAGACGAACAGGAAUGUUCUGAGUGGCUUCACAAACUCUAUCAAGAAAAGGAUGCCUUUCAAGAAGAAUACUACAGAACAGGAACCUAUCCAGCUACUCCCAUAGUGCCACCUCGGCGGCCAUGGACUCUUUUGAACUGGCUUUUCUGGGCCUUCUUGCUGCUAUAUCCUUUAUUCCAGCUGCUUAUCAACAUGGUCAGCAGUGGAUCAUCACUGACGCUGGCUAGUUUUGCUUUUGUCAUCAUUGUGGAUAAGCUUCCUGAUUCUGGACCACCCGAGUCCAUAAUAUGAUCAUAGAUUUACUGCACUCUGUCAAAGCAGAAAUUUCAGAGCCAGGUUUGUCAUGUCUUUCUGUUAUAACGGGCUCAAGGUAAGAGAGCUGAUAUGAGCAAGCAUCCGGCGAGGGGAAAGAGAUGAGGUAUUUGAGUGCUUCUCUUGCCUGUAAUCCUGAAUUCUGUUUCAGACCUUCCCUCUUUCUCUUCCAGACACUCUGACCAAUCAUAUCAUAGAGUAAUAAAAAUAUUUGCUUGCAAUCUCAGCACUUGGUGUUUUGAAGAAAAGAAUCGUAUAAGAGAAAUGGCUGACUUUAUGGUUAAAUCGGAGCAAUAAUAUUAUAGUAGACUAGAAUACUAUAAUUAUCUUGGUUAGAUGGGAGCAAUAGAGAACUGGACUAUAUUUAACUACAUCAGUUCAGCUUGAACUCUUCAAGCCCCAAGUGUGAUUUUAUAAUUCCAUACUGUGAAUGCUGAGCCAUCCCCUCUCACUGUGUUACACAAAAAUAAUAAUGAAAUAAAUGAUCUUGGUAUUCUUUUUAUGGGAGUCCCCGUCCCAAAGAGCAAGCAUCUAAGUGACUUAGAAUCCCAAAAUACCUACAUUGUAUUUUCAAAGGUGACUAGGAGCCUAAGUCCCAUUGACUUUUGGUGAGACUUAAGCUCCUAAAUUACUAAGGCACUAUUGAAAAUUUUAUACUUAAUUCCUAUGGUACUUCUACUUAGUGGAGUUAGAACAAGAAACGAGGGCUGAUUAAACCAAAUUCUGGUAGCUCUAUUGGAAGAACUCCCAUUGAAGAAGUUCAUGUGGUUAUUGACCCCAGACAGAACACAGGACUGGGUCAUGUUCUGGAUUUCUACACUUGGUAUGGAAGAGAACAGUUCUUGUUAUACCCAAAGUAUACUCUUUUUGUUAGUAAAGAAGCUGUCAACUGUUUUUCAAAGGGGAAUGUUGAUUUCAUAUGCAGGAAAAUAAAGGAUUGGUCUUGGGUUUUAAGGGGGAAAUAGCUCUUAAAUGUCUAAUGCUAAAAACAUAACAUUUGGGCUUUCUGACAUGGCUCCAGACCAUAGAGUAUCUUUUACAGGCAAGAGAAUUAUACAAUUCAAAACGAGCAUGAGUAAUAAUGAGAUCUCUUUAAAAUCUGCAUGAGCUUGUGUAUGUUUCUAUUAUACGUGUGCGAGUGUUGUCACGGGACCCGCUACCAUUGGCUGCAGUGGAAACAGGAGUGGAUCCCUACUGACAUAACUCCUAACAGCUCCCAUUAUGGACUGUAACAGGGUUUAAAAGGUUAAAAUAAACUGUUCUAUGUGGCAAAACUGGUGUUGUCCCGAGUAUAACUGAGGGCAGAAUGGGCCCCUAGUAUUGUCAGUAAAUUUAAAAACCUUCUAGAGUCUGCAGAAGCAAUUAAUUUGUGACCGAAUGAAAUCUGUGUGUGUAGUUUCACUUUCCGCAUGUGUAGCUGCAUGUUUUGCGCAUGCAACUUAGCCACACAGCUUUGAAGAAGUUGCCCUUCUUCAACUCCCUGAUUUCUGUAUGUGUUCAUCUUUUUUUAUACUAUUCAGGACUAGACCAAGUGGAAAUCUUGAUGAAGCACCUUUGGUUGUUCAAAUGCUGUUGCAUAUAUGUCAGUUAUGUUAGCUAUAUGCCUUACAGAUGUAUUGUAAAAUAAAUAUGGAACUUCCCUAUACCUACAGAGAAUGUACUGACAUGUUGCUUACAGCAACAGUUAUGCUGAGGCAACUCCAGGAAUUAACUCAUAUGGGAGGAAAUUAACAUAUUUUUAAAUCCUGUAUAUUACUAAAUAGGAUCUGUACUGAGACUCUUCUUAGGACUAAAACCAAUUGCAUAGAGCAAAGCUCACAGAAUUGGCUCAGACUGACAAGCUUUUCAGUCCCUGUGAAUAGUUUCACUGGCCAGCACCCUGCCAAUCAGAGAGCAAGUCCCUAAUAGUCCUAUAAAUUGCUCAACUGGUUUGGGGCCAGAGCCAACCAGUCGGAGCCCAGCUCCUUCCUUAACACUGCUCUGGGGCAAUCUUGUCCUGGUUUUCAUCGUAUUUGUGUGUAAUUGGUUUCCUGGGGACCAACCAGCCAUAGGCUUCCCCUCUGUCAUCUUCUGAGAUAACUGAAACUUUCAUGGCAAAUUAGAAAGGCUGGAAUGACACCAUAGCAGUCACAGCCUGGUUACUCCUUCCCCUUCUUUAACGAUCGCAUGUGUUCCUAUCAUUGCAGCUGUUGUUGGUUUUUAUUAUUAUUAUAACCUUAAACCUGGCUGAGUCACAGCAAGGUUGGAAAUACCCAAGUUAGCAAUUUUCUUUUUCACAGGAGCGUAGUAAGUCAAUAAAAAUGUUCUGCAGGAGAACAAUAAAAACACCAUAUCCCACCUCUCCUUGAAACAUAAGGUAUAAGAGAGAGAAAGAAAAGUUGAUUUCAAGUGUUACCUUUGAAUAGUAUUGCAAAUAUUUGAGUCGAAGGCCAUGCCUUUUAAUUUUAUUGUAACUCAUGCUUGUAGUUUUGAAUUGACUCAAAAACCAGUGUGCUAUUAUAAGCUACAACAGAGUUCAGAGAAUGCCAGAGAGUUUGUACUUGUGGUUGAGAGCUCUGUUAGAGAAUCCUUUUCUGAGAGUGCAGCACAUUGAACUGUGGGCUCUGUUUAAAUUCUGGUUGCUGUGGUUCACAAAAGCAUAUCUUAGAACAUCAGAAUUGCAUCUUUUUUUCCCCUGGUUGUCUAGAGCACUCCCACUGUAAGUGGAAAUUUAAGAGAAAUGUGAAGAAUAAUCUUACAAUGUGUGAAUGGUAUUAAAAAAAAAAAAAAAGGGGCACAAAUGUAAUUCUCCCCUCCACCCCACCCCCCCCUCAAUGAAUGCACAUCAUGACAAAUGGAUAGGAGUUUGGAAUGUCAAGGUUCUUUUUUGUAGAAUUAUUUUUAAGUGUCUCUCAAAGUUGGGCGGGGGGGGGGGCGGAGGGACUACAGAAUAUAGUAUAGAGGGGAAAAGUCCAAAUCUUAGAUAAAAUAUUUGUAAAAUCAAACUUAAGAACAGAGAAAUCUCCUUAUUGAAUCAGACCAGGAGUCCAUCUAGUCCCAUGUCCUGUCUGUCUCGGAAAAUGGCAAGUUUGAGGUGCUUCAGAGGAGGGGAGGAGAGAUGUUCCAUAGGGGAAGUUUCUACCUAAUCCCAUUCUAGCCAUGAAAUUUCAAGUCCCCCUUGGGGAGGAGAAUGGGGACGGGGGCUAACUGUGAAGCUGUAGGUUACCAUGGAUUUGUUAUAAUACCACGGUGGUUGUACCACGUAUUGCUGCCUUUGUCAGGUUCUCAUCGCAUUGAUGAACUCUUUGAGCCCAGGCUUCCAUUCCUUAUUCCGUCAAAAGUCCUUCCGAGUUUUGCCUGAGGUGAGAACUCAGGCUCAAAUCCUGUACCUGCUUAAAUGGACAUUUUAGAUCUCAAAGCAACUCGUUCCUUGCAUGAAGAGGGUAAAGUGUAAGUGACUGCGCUCCCUUCGCACCAUAUCCAUAGUUUAUAGUGGGUGGAGGAACUGGGAGCAAAGCUGUGUGUGUGUGUCAGGAACGGGGAUUCUCUAACCCCAGUCCAUAGGCAGUGCUGCAGUAGCAGCUGCAGCCUGUCUCUGCAUGAUCCUGGUGCUGGAUCUUCCAUGCCCCAAACUUGAAUAGAGUUUUUGGACAAAACCCUUUUACUCCAUUUGCUACUGGGCUCAGGUUGAGAACUUCAGUAAAGAGAAUCUGGCCUUUGGGGAUUAAAUACAAGCCUCUGUCCAUGUGGCGUUGCCUUCAAAGGUUCAAGUGCUGGGCUAUUAUUUCUUUUCCUUUCUGUCCCCUCCACUCUCCCUAGGCAGCUUUUGGGAUCCAUCUCCUCCACAUAAACCUGAGAACUGAGCAAUUCUUAAUACUCUUAAGCAUGACAACCUCACCCCUGUCCAGCCCUGUCAUCCUUCUAACUCCCCUCUACUGUACCUUCUUCAAUUCUGCAGUAGCCUUCCUGUAGCAGGUACAGCACUGCGCCCACAACCCUGUAAAAGCCCCAGGAAGUAGUUUGCUUGGUUGCUAUAACAAUGGCCCUGAUUUAUGUUCUGUUUAUACAGCUCCACAUGCUGAUUUCCUCUUUUUUUGUUGCCGGACACCACGGUGAUGAUUUGAGUUUCUGUCGGUCAUUAUCCCAGCUCACGUGUCCUACUCUGUUUCCCAGCUCUUGACCAUUUGAAGCCAAAAUCAUUGUUGCCAUUUUGUGUUUGGUUGAACCGAGUCCUCAUUGUGUUACCUGCUUUUUCCAGUCAGAGUGAGAGUGCGGCCUGUCUCUGCACAAGUGAGGCCACCUCGAGGCAGCUUCUCCCUUCCCUGCCAUGUGCUGCUGUGCAGAAAUAUACAACAGCAUCACUGAGGACCACAGAUCUCACUGUGGGCAAUAGCUGUCUGAAAGGGAGCAGGAGGAGGUGGGACUGAAGGUUUCAUUCCACCAGCCCUUCUCUUGUGAUUUUUGCUCCUGUAACGUUUUACCCUUAGCACACUCUGUAUACAACAUUUUAGAAGGAAAUACUUUGGCCUAACGUAGCCUUUCAUCCAAGCAGCUCAAAGCGUAUCCCAUAUAAUCAGUGAAUCUCACUACACCCCAGCCAGGUAUAUUAUUAUUUAUUGUUGGUCUUUUUUACAGAUUGGUAAGGUGAAGUGCAAUGGGCCAAAUUAUCCAUGACUUACUCUCCAUUAUGUCAGUGGAGGUGUAAAUCAAUAUAGAAUACGGUUACAUGGUGAGUUGGGGGGAAGCUGGGAAAAAGCAGUCUUACAUGUCAUUCACCUGAUCCAACUACUACAACAUCCUUCCACAGAUGAAACCUGUUUUGAAGGUUCAGGUAGAUCAUCUGUGGCUUCAUCCUUGGAAAUUCAAACUGUGAUUGAAAGGAAUUAGUUAAUUCUGACCUUCCCUUUGAAUCCAUAGUCACUAUCAUUGUGGUGCUUGUACAUGUCCAGGUAUUUUCCUAUUUUUGUCUGUAAUCAAUGACUUUACAGUCUUUCCAACUACUGAGCUUAGCUGGAAAGGUCUGCACUUUCUAAUCUCGUCUUUUAAUGCUUUCCUACAUGAAGGUGUCUUGCAAGCUUAUUUCCAGCCUAUAGAUUCCUCUCUUGAAGAGAUUUGGAAAAAUCUCUGUUGUACCUUAUUUUUUUCUUCUGUCUCAAUUUAGAAAUCGACCCUGUAGGCAAAAUGCUCCCUUCUGACUUUCCCAUGUGUCUUUUUCAACAAAAGGAUUUUACUUUACUCAGCUAUGUUUCAAAUGCGCAACUCUUGUGAACCAUUGUUGGCCCUGUCUUGCCUACUUGGGCAAACCAGUCAGGGAAUACUUCCAGCAAAGAAGAGACUGGUUAUUUUUAAUUACUCCCCAUCAGUACAGUUAGUUGAGUGACCUUGACUGUAAUAUGGACAAGAGGUAGCCACUGGUUUUGGUCGUGCUGGCUGUAUUUUCUCAGGUUGGUGAGGGAUGUGCUGAUGCUUUAGUAAAGAAUGCUGAGCUAUUUCUUUCUUCAGAUUGGUACAAAAAUCAUUAAUUCGUAAGCAACUUGAUCAGUAUUUAUGGAGCCUUCCACGGACUUCAGUGGGUGUUGGAUUGGGCCCUAACCGAGCAUGAGAGCAUGUAUUGCUAAUAAAUUGUGCAUGAGUCUGUCUCUCUCUCUUUCUCUGUUCCUCUGUCUCUCCUUCUCUCCUAGACUCUGCUUGGUGGCUAAAAGACCUUGAUGAAGGCUUGACUAUAAAUGAUCUUAAUGAGGGGAGGUGGCCAGAGAAGAUUCCAGAUGAGUAACAGUACAAAUCCCUUUUUCUUGGGAUUUAUGCAAACAACUGCCUGGAUGCUGGAGAGUGGAAAUGGAAUCAUAUCCGUCAUUCUGGAAUCAAGAGUUUGAGCAUUUCCUCCUGCAAAAUAGCUGCAGGAGCAGGCCAAGGGGGAUUUCUGACCAAUAUGUCCCAUUUUCGAAGACCCUGAUCUUAUUCCCACGGAGGCAAAUAGCAAAACUCUCCUCUAGCUUCUGUUGGUGUUCGAUGGAUGAUAGGGGUGACUGAAAUUAAUAAGGGUUCUACCUACGGCAACAAUGACAACAAGCAGA